GCGGGUUUAGCUCAGUUGGGAGAGCGUCAGACUGUGAGUACCACUAAUCCACUGUCAAGUCCCUUGCCAUCAGACAUCUAACAACCAGUAGGAAGAAAACUUCAGCAAGGAAUCUGAAGGUCGUGUGUUCAAUCCACACAAGCCGCA
Molecule: non-coding RNA, 147 nt
Organism: Diaporthe citri
Lineage: Eukaryota; Fungi; Ascomycota; Sordariomycetes; Diaporthales; Diaporthaceae
Source: the annotation of a RefSeq genome assembly